CUAGUAAUCGUAGAUCAGCAUGCUACGGUGAAUACGUUCCCGGGUCUGUACACACCGCCCGUCACACCACGAGAGUUUGUAACACCCGAAGCCGGUGGAGUAACCUUUUAGGAGCUAGCCGUCGAAGGUGGGACAAAUGAUUGGGGUGAAGUCGUAACAAGGUAGCCGUAUCGGAAGGUGCGGCUGGAUCACCUCCUUUCUAAGGA
This 206-nucleotide ribosomal RNA is filed under the name Staphylococcus aureus. RNAcentral's name for it is "partial 16S ribosomal RNA". It matches the Rfam family "Bacterial small subunit ribosomal RNA", at positions 1335 to 1533 of the family's 1533-position model. Lineage: Bacteria; Bacillati; Bacillota; Bacilli; Caryophanales; Staphylococcaceae. The record is from RNAcentral.